This 305-nucleotide ribosomal RNA is filed under the name uncultured bacterium. RNAcentral describes it as "bacterial SSU rRNA". It matches the Rfam family "Bacterial small subunit ribosomal RNA", at positions 335 to 657 of the family's 1533-position model. The record is from RNAcentral.
GCCCCUACGGGGGGCAGCAGUGGGGAAUAUUGCACAAUGGGGGAAACCCUGAUGCAGCAACGCCGCGUGAGUGAAGAAGUCAUUCGUGAUGUAAAGCUCUAUCAGCAGGGAAGAAAAUGACGGUACCCGAGUAAGAAGCCCCGGCUAACUACGUGCCAGCAGCCGCGGUAGUACGUAUGGGGCAAGCGUUAUCCGGAUUUACUGGGUGUAAAGGGAGCGUAGGCGGCAGGGCAAGCCUGAUGUGAAAGCCCGGGGCUCAACCCCGGGACUGCAUUGGGAACUGCCCCGCUCGAGUGCCGGAGGGG